GCCAGGCGUGGUGGCGCAUGCCUGUAAUCCCUGCAGCUCAGGAGGCUGAGGCCGGAGGAUUACCAGUUCAAAGCCAGCCUCAAAGCAACUGUCUCUAGACUAAGACCCUGUCUCUA
RNAcentral lists this small RNA (116 nucleotides) under Marmota monax (woodchuck). Lineage: Eukaryota; Metazoa; Chordata; Mammalia; Rodentia; Sciuridae. The record is from RNAcentral.